UGAGGAAUAUUGGGCAAUGGGCGGAAGCCUGACCCAGCCAUGCCGCGUGAAGGAUGAAGGCGUUCUGCGUUGUAAACUUCUUUUAUCAGGGAAGAAACCACAGAUUUCUAUUUGUGUUGACGGUACCUGAGGAAUAAGCACCGGCUAACUCCGUGCCAGCAGCCGCGGUAAUACGGAGGGUGCAAGCGUUAUCCGGAUUUACUGGGUUUAAAGGGUGUGUAGGCGGGCUAUUAAGUCUGGGGUGAAAUCUCCGAGCUCAACUCGGAAACUGCCUUGGAUACUAUUAGCCUUGAAUUAUGUUGAGGUUGGCGGAAUAUAACAUGUAGCGGUGAAAUGCAUAGAUAUGUUAUAGAACACCGAUUGCGAAGGCAGCUAACUAAGCAUAUAUUGACGCUGAGGCACGAAAGCGUGGGGAUCAAACA
This 422-nucleotide ribosomal RNA is filed under the name uncultured Taibaiella sp. Its description in RNAcentral is "bacterial SSU rRNA". It matches the Rfam family "Bacterial small subunit ribosomal RNA", at positions 355 to 774 of the family's 1533-position model. Lineage: Bacteria; Pseudomonadati; Bacteroidota; Chitinophagia; Chitinophagales; Chitinophagaceae. The record is from RNAcentral.